GCAGGCUGCAACUCGCCUGCAUGAAGCUGGAAUUGCUAGUAAUCGCGGAUCAGCAAGCCGCGGUGAAUACGUUCCCGGGCCUUGUACACACCGCCCGUCACACCAUGAGAGUCGGAACACCCGAAGUCCGUAGUCUAACCGCGAAGGGGGGCGCGGCCGAAGGUGGGUCCGGUAAUUGGGGUGAAGUCGUAACAAGGUACC
Molecule: ribosomal RNA, 201 nt
Filed under: uncultured bacterium
Lineage: Bacteria
Description: partial 16S ribosomal RNA
Rfam family: Bacterial small subunit ribosomal RNA
Source: RNAcentral